UCGGACGUGGCGCAUGGUGUGCACCUGUUCUCGAUGUAUAUUCCUGUUUGUUGACAGCAGAUUGACGGGGUUCGACUCCCCGCGUCCGAG
This is a non-coding RNA of Mycena crocata, 90 nucleotides long. Lineage: Eukaryota; Fungi; Basidiomycota; Agaricomycetes; Agaricales; Mycenaceae. The record is from the annotation of a GenBank genome assembly.